RNAcentral lists this ribosomal RNA (500 nucleotides) under uncultured bacterium. RNAcentral describes it as "bacterial SSU rRNA". It matches the Rfam family "Bacterial small subunit ribosomal RNA", at positions 29 to 501 of the family's 1533-position model. The record is from RNAcentral.
AACGAACGCUGGCGGCGCGCCUAACACAUGCAAGUCGAACGGGGUUAUUUUUUGAAGCCGGCUUCGGUUGGUGAAAGAUUAUAACCUAGUGGCGGACGGGUGAGUAACACGUAGGUAACCUACCCUAGGGACCGGAAUACUCCCGAGAAAUCGGGGACAAUACCGGGUAUCAUUUCAGGGCGAAAUUCCCUGUAAUAAAAGCUGCGAGCAAUCGUGGCGCCUUAGGAUGGGCCUGCGGCCAAUCAGCUUGUUGGUGAGGUAACGGCUUACCAAGGCUAUGACGGGUAACCGGACUGAGAGGUCGAUCGGUCACACUGGAACUGAGACACGGCCCAGACUCCUACGGGAGGCAGCAGUGGGGAAUUUUGCGCAAUGGGCGAAAGCCUGACGCAGCGACGCCGCGUGGAGGAAGAAGGCCUUUGGGUUGUAAACUCCUUUCGUGAGGGAAAAAGUCCCGAGCAAUCGGGAUGAUGGUACCUCAAGAAGAAGCCACGGCUAAC